UACGAAGGUGGCGAGCGUUGUCCGGGUUUACAGGGUGUAAAAGGCGUGUAGGCGGGGAAACAAGUGAGAUGUGGAAUCCCGGGGCUUAACUCCGGAGCUGAAUCUGAAACUGUUUUUCUUGAGUGCUGGAGAGGAAAGUGGAAUUCCCAGUGUAGCGGUGAAAUGCGUAGAGAUUGGGAGGAACACCAGGGGAGAAGGCGACUUUCUGGACUGUAACUGACGGUUAGGCACGAAAGCGUGGGGAGCAAACAGG
Molecule: ribosomal RNA, 253 nt
Filed under: uncultured bacterium
Lineage: Bacteria
Description: partial 16S ribosomal RNA
Rfam family: Bacterial small subunit ribosomal RNA
Source: RNAcentral